Molecule: transfer RNA, 62 nt
Filed under: Corbicula fluminea
Lineage: Eukaryota; Metazoa; Mollusca; Bivalvia; Venerida; Cyrenidae
Description: tRNA-Trp
Source: RNAcentral
AGGACUUUAAGUUAUGAAGACUAUAAUAUUUCAAGUAUUAAAGAGGGUGUGCCCAAGUUCUG